This 1265-nucleotide ribosomal RNA is filed under the name human gut metagenome. RNAcentral describes it as "bacterial LSU rRNA". It matches the Rfam family "Bacterial large subunit ribosomal RNA", at positions 706 to 1973 of the family's 2925-position model. The record is from RNAcentral.
GAAGUAGACCCGAAGCUGAGUGAUCUAUCCAUGGUCAGGUUGAACCUCCGGUAACACGGAGUGGAGGACCGAACCGGUGAGCGUUGAAAAGCUUUCGGAUGAACUGUGGAUAGGAGCGAAAGACCAAUCAAACUCAGUGAUAGCUGGUUCUCUUCGAAAUAUCUUGAGGGAUAGCCUUACGCCAUUGACUUACGGGGGUAGAGCACUGAUUGUCCGCGGGUCCUUACCGGGAUACCAACGACUGUCAAACUUCGAAUACCGUUAAGUUUUACCGUAGGAGUCAGACUGUGGGGGAUAAGCUUCAUAGUCGAGAGGGAAACAACCCAGAUCGCCGUCUAAGGUCCCUAAUUUAAGCUAAGUGGUUUGAAGGAUGUGAAGUUGCGUAAACAACCAGGAUGUUGGCUUAGAGGCAGCCAUCAUUUAAAGAUCGCGUAAUAGCGCACUGGUCGAGUGAUUUUGCGCCGAAGAUGAUCGGGACUAAGCUUAAAACCGAAGACGCGGAUGUACAGCAAUGUACGUGGUAGAAGAGCGUUGUAUGAGGAGCGAAGCGUGAAUGAGAAUGAGCGUGGACUUCAUACAAGUGACCAUGCAAGCAUGAGUAGCGAAAAACCGGAUGGAAAUUCCGGUCACCGUAAGACCAAGGUUUCCCGGGGAAGGUUCGUCCGCCCGGGGUUAGCCGGAUCCUAAGGCCAGGCCGAAAGGCGUAGUCGAUGGACAACGGGUUAAUAUUCCCGUGCCGCCUUAACGGAGUGACGGAGUGACGCAGUAUGCUAAGCGAGCUGGCUAUAUGCCAGUCUAAUGUCGUAGGACGUCAGGGGUUAAAUGACCUGACAUCAAGUCUGAAAACGGAUGGGACUCGAAGCCUUCGGGUAACGGGGAUUCGCUGAUGCUUUGCUGACGAGAAAAGCUCCUAAACGUUGAUGUUUUGGCGUCCGUACCGUAAACCGACACAGGUGGUCGAGGCGAGUAGCCUAAGGUGCGCGAGUGAAACCACUUCAAGGAACUCGGCAAAUUAGCCCCGUAACUUUGGGAGAAGGGGUGCCGAACGGGUGCAUAGCCCGGACGGUUUCAACAAAGAGGCCGCGGCGACUGUUUAACAAAAACAUAGCUCUCUGCUAACUCGCAAGAGGAUGUAUAGGGAGUGACACGUGACCAAUGCCGAAAGGUCAAUCGGAUCCGUUAGCAGCAAUGCGAAGCGGUGAUGUGAAGCCCCGGUGAAUGUCGGCCGUAACUAUAACGGUCCUAAGGUAGCGAAAUUCCUUGUC